GAUGAACGCUGACAGAAUGCUUAACACAUGCAAGUCUUUGGCGAAGCUGUGCUUGCACAGCCUAGCCAAGGCGGACGGGUGAGUAACGCGUAAGGAACUUGCCCUGCAGUCAGGGAUAACAGACGGAAACGACUGAUAAGACCUGGUAAAGUCAGGCGGACUCAUGUCCAGCCUGAUGAAAAGAGAUGCUGCAGGAGAGCCUUGCGUCCUAUUAGCUUGUUGGUGGGGUAACGGCCCACCAAGGCGAUGAUAGGUAGCCGGCCUGAGAGGGUGGACGGCCACAAGGGGACUGAGAUACGGCCCUUACUCCUACGGGAGGCAGCAGUGGGGAAUAUUGGACAAUGGGGGCAACCCUGAUCCAGCAAUUCUGUGUGCAAGAUGAAGGUUUUCGGAUUGUAAAGUGCUUUCAGCAGGGAAGAAAAAAAUGACGGUACCUGCAGAAGAAGCGACGGCUAAAUACGUG
This 463-nucleotide ribosomal RNA is filed under the name uncultured bacterium. RNAcentral's name for it is "partial 16S ribosomal RNA". It matches the Rfam family "Bacterial small subunit ribosomal RNA", at positions 28 to 507 of the family's 1533-position model. The record is from RNAcentral.